Molecule: ribosomal RNA, 402 nt
Filed under: uncultured Rozellomycota
Lineage: Eukaryota; Fungi; Rozellomycota
Description: bacterial SSU rRNA
Rfam family: Eukaryotic small subunit ribosomal RNA
Source: RNAcentral
GGCAAGUCUGGUGCCAGCAGCCGCGGUAAUUCCAGCUCCAAUAGCGUAUAUUAAAGUUGUUGCAGUUAAAAGCUCGUAGUUGAAUUUCUGGCUAUUCUUACUCUGGCUUUAGUCAGUUUAGGGGUAGUCAUCCGUCUUCGAAACCAUUCCGGCCUUCACUGGUCGAUUGGCGGAGAAGGCAAUUUACCUUGAAAAAUUGAGUGUUCCAGGCAGGCUUAGCCUGAAUAGUGCAGCAUGGAAUAAUACAAGAGGACUUGGCUCCAGUUGUUGGUGUAUGGCGCUGAGUAAUGAUUAACAGGGAUAGUUGGGGCAUUCGUAUUAAUUGUCAGAGGUGAAAUUCUUGGAUUUAUUAAAGACGAACCUGUGCGAAAGCAUUUGCCAAGGAUGUUUUCAUUAAUCAAG